CAUAUUCCUAUCUGCACAGAUCAAGUGAAGUUUAAUUUCAAGAAAUGGAUGAUUUUUAGCAUUAAACACGGAGAAACUAAUAUAUCUAAGAAGAGGGAUUAAUUCCUCAGCUACAACUUUACCAAUAAUAAUCCCAAGCCCUCCAGAGCGUGUAAAUAUACUUGUGCUUCUCCCUGUAGAUAGAGAAAAUUUUAAGAACCCAACCCUCAAUUAAACCACUUCUUAAUACUCUCAACCCCAUCCCCAUUUAGCAAGAUAAAAGUAUAUAAAAUCACAUGCAUAAAUAAGAAUUAUCUGGACAGAUUAUUACAAUUACAAAACAGCCACACACAAAAAAAAUAAUUCAAUAAUCACCUAUAGGAUCAAACAUCUUUAAAAUUGUUCGAAAUCCACUGCCAUUAAAGUUCAUCACAGCGUACCGCACAAUUCUACAAAAUCCAAUAGUGUGUUAGCCAGGAACCGAGAAACACAAUAAUGAAUAAAUUUACAAAGCAAUCCGUAAACUUUAAAAAGACACUAAUAUGCAAAUUUGAUCAUAUAUCUUUAUGACAAUCACUUGAUCCUGUCAGAAUUGCCAGGCGAAGAAGAUGAUCACUUCUUAAUAUAAUCCGGAUUCAGUAAU
Molecule: long non-coding RNA, 622 nt
Filed under: Daucus carota (carrot)
Lineage: Eukaryota; Viridiplantae; Streptophyta; Magnoliopsida; Apiales; Apiaceae
Description: long non-coding RNA (DCAR_LNC004965)
Source: RNAcentral